This 468-nucleotide ribosomal RNA is filed under the name uncultured bacterium. RNAcentral's name for it is "partial 16S ribosomal RNA". It matches the Rfam family "Bacterial small subunit ribosomal RNA", at positions 28 to 507 of the family's 1533-position model. The record is from RNAcentral.
GACGAACGCUGGCGGCGUGCUUAACACAUGCAAGUCGAACGGAAAGGCCCUGCUUUUGUGGGGUGCUCGAGUGGCGAACGGGUGAGUAACACGUGAGUAACCUGCCCUUGACUUUGGGAUAACUUCAGGAAACUGGGGCUAAUACCGGGUAGGAGCUCCUGCUGCAUGGUGGGGGUUGGAAAGUUUCGGCGGUUGGGGAUGGACUCGCGGCUUAUCAGCUUGUUGGUGGGGUAGUGGCUUACCAAGGCUUUGACGGGUAGCCGGCCUGAGAGGGUGACCGGCCACAUUGGGACUGAAAUACGGCCCAGACUCCUACGGGAGGCAGCAGUGGGGAAUAUUGCACAAUGGGCGGAAGCCUGAUGCAGCAACGCCGCGUGCGGGAUGACGGCCUUCGGGUUGUAAACCGCUUUCGCCUGUGACGAAGCGUGAGUGACGGUAAUGGGUAAAGAAGCACCGGCUAACUACGUG